GACAGAGGUGCCAAGCGUUAGGCGGAAUCACUGGGCUUAAAGCGUGUGUAGGCGGAUCGUUAAGUACCUUGUGAAAUCCCACGGCUCAACCGUGGAACUGCUGGGUAUACUGGCGGUCUUGAGCCACCUAGGGGCAACUGGAACAAGCGGUGGAGCGGUGAAAUGCGUAGAUAUCAUUUGGAACGCCAAUGGUGAAAACAGGUAGCUGGGGCUGUGCUGACACUGAGACACGAAAGCCAGGGGAGCGAACGGG
This 253-nucleotide ribosomal RNA is filed under the name uncultured bacterium. RNAcentral describes it as "partial 16S ribosomal RNA". It matches the Rfam family "Bacterial small subunit ribosomal RNA", at positions 524 to 776 of the family's 1533-position model. The record is from RNAcentral.